Molecule: ribosomal RNA, 485 nt
Filed under: uncultured Acinetobacter sp.
Lineage: Bacteria; Pseudomonadati; Pseudomonadota; Gammaproteobacteria; Moraxellales; Moraxellaceae
Description: bacterial SSU rRNA
Rfam family: Bacterial small subunit ribosomal RNA
Source: RNAcentral
GCGGCAGCUUACCAUGCAGUCGAGCGGGGAAGGUAGCUUGCUACUGGACCUAGCGGCGGACGGGUGAGUAAUGCUUAGGAAUCUGCCUAUUAGUGGGGGACAACAUUCCGAAAGGAAUGCUAAUACCGCAUACGUCCUACGGGAGAAAGCAGGGGACCUUCGGGCCUUGCGCUAAUAGAUGAGCCUAAGUCGGAUUAGCUAGUUGGUGGGGUAAAGGCCUACCAAGGCGACGAUCUGUAGCGGGUCUGAGAGGAUGAUCCGCCACACUGGGACUGAGACACGGCCCAGACUCCUACGGGAGGCAGCAGUGGGGAAUAUUGGACAAUGGGGGGAACCCUGAUCCAGCCAUGCCGCGUGUGUGAAGAAGGCCUUAUGGUUGUAAAGCACUUUAAGCGAGGAGGAGGCUACUAGUAUUAAUACUACUGGAUAGUGGACGUUACUCGCAGAAUAAGCACCGGCUAACUCUGUGCCAGCAGCCGCGGUAA